Non-coding RNA from Phyllostomus hastatus (greater spear-nosed bat), 500 nucleotides. Lineage: Eukaryota; Metazoa; Chordata; Mammalia; Chiroptera; Phyllostomidae. The record is from the annotation of a RefSeq genome assembly.
UCUGAGCAUGAAAAGCAGCCCAGCCCUGACCCAGCAGCUCUGGGACAGGAGCCCAGCCCAGGAUUCUCAGGUGUUCAUAGUCCCUGGUCAGGACAGAACACAAACCACUCACCAUGGAGUUUGGGCUCAGCUGGAUUUUCCUUGUUGCUAUUCUAAGAGGUGUCCAGUGUGAUGUGCAGCUGGUGGAGUCUGGGGGAGGCUUGGCGAAGCCUGGGGGUUCCCUCAAACUCUCCUGCCUGGCCUCUGGGUUCACCUUCAGUAGGUUUGCAAUGAGCUGGGUCCCCCAGGCUCCAGGGAAGGGGCUGGAGUGGGUCUCAGUAAUUAGUAGUAGUGGUAGUAGCACAUACUACGCCAACUCUGUGAAGGGCCGAUUCACCAUCUCCAGAGACAAUGGCAAGAACACACUUUACCUGCAAAUGAACAACCUGAAAGCCGAGGACACGGCCAUGUAUUACUGUGCCACAGACACAGGUGCAGUGGGCCUGGCCCUGCUGGAGUGA